This 685-nucleotide long non-coding RNA is filed under the name Sus scrofa (pig). Its description in RNAcentral is "lncRNA (ENSSSCG00070008813.1)". Lineage: Eukaryota; Metazoa; Chordata; Mammalia; Artiodactyla; Suidae. The record is from RNAcentral.
AUGACAUCACUUGGGUGCAGACAUAUGAGGAAGGUCUCUUUCAUAUUCAAAAAAGAUCCUUCUUUAACAGUCAGAGAUGAUAUAACUGGAAGAUAUUCCAACAGACUGUAUACAUAUGAACCUCAGGAUUUGCCACUGUGGAUAGAAAACAUGAAGAAAGCAUUAAAACUUACUCAAUCCAAGUUAUAAUGGAGUACCUCUUAAGAUCUUGAAUGUCGGAGUUCCCGUCGUGGCGAAGUGGUUAACGAAUCCGACUAGGAACCAUGACGUUGCGGGUUCGGUCCCUGCCCUUGCUCAGUGGGUUAACGAUCCGGUGUUGCCGUGAGCUGUGGUGUAGGUUGCAGACGCGGCUCGGAUCCCCCGUUGUUGUGGCUCUGGCGUAGGCCGGUGGCUACAGCUCCGAUUCAACCCCUAGCCUGGGAACCUCCAUAUGCCGCGGGAGCGGCCCAAGAAAUAGCAACAACAGCAACAACAACAUCAACAACAACAACAGACCAAAAGACAAAAAAAGACAAAAAAAAAAAAAAAAGAUCUUGAAUGUCACAAAGAAACACUUCUAGUUAAAUGACUAAUAUUCAAAAGGCAGAUAUAUGGCUUUUGUAACAUUACCAUUUAGAUUUUUAACAUGUUUGCAAUAGUCUUACGGAGGUAUGGUGAUAUUUCAAUAAAUGUCAAAACAUGCACA